This 497-nucleotide ribosomal RNA is filed under the name uncultured bacterium. RNAcentral describes it as "partial 16S ribosomal RNA". It matches the Rfam family "Bacterial small subunit ribosomal RNA", at positions 28 to 507 of the family's 1533-position model. The record is from RNAcentral.
GAUGAACGCUGGCGGCGUGCCUAAUACAUGCAAGUCGAGCGAACGGACGAGAAGCUUGCUUCUCUGAUGUUAGCGGCGGACGGGCGAGUAACACGUGGAUAACCUACCUAUAAGACUGGGAUAACUUCGGGAAACCGUAGCUAAUACCGGAUAAUAUUUUGAACCGCAUGGUUCAAAAGUGAAAGACGGUCUUGCUGUUACUUAUAGAUGGAUCCGCGCUGCAUUAGCUAGUUGGUAAGGUAACGGCUUACCAAGGCAACGAUGCAUAGCCGACCUGAGAGGGUGAUCGGCCACACUGGAACUGAGACACGGUCCAGACUCCUACGGGAGGCAGCAGUAGGGAAUCUUCCGCAAAGGGCGAAAGCCUGACGGAGCAACGCCGCGUGAGUGAUGAAGGUCUUCGGAUCGUAAAACUCUGUUAUUAGGGAAGAACAUAUGUGUAAGUAACUGUGCACAUCUUGACGGUACCUAAUCAGAAAGCCACGGCUAACUACGUG